Molecule: long non-coding RNA, 1993 nt
Organism: Strigops habroptila (Kakapo)
Lineage: Eukaryota; Metazoa; Chordata; Aves; Psittaciformes; Psittacidae
Exons: 2
Source: RefSeq, a predicted model, not a curated record
GGGGUGCCCGGCCCAUCCCCCGCGCCUUUGGGAGUGCCGGCUCCCGGGAUCGCGGGUUCGAGACCCGCGCCCGCCGAUCUCGAUGGCCGGCGCCGGGCAGCCAUGUCCCGAGGAAUUUCUCCCGCGGGGAAGAGGAGAUCCUGCAUCCUCCCAUCGUCCCCGUUGGUUUUUGCACGUCCCUUAGGCAGGACAGGUGCAAUGAUUCUGCAAGCUCUUUGAACAUCAGCGGCUUCAGGCAAAAUCAGAACCACAGUAUGUCAAGCUCUCAAACAGGGCCAUGGGAGAGGCGAGCUGAGGUUUCAUUGUAAAGCAGAAUGGUUUACAGGUCUGUUGUCUCUAUUGAAGGUCCACUUUUAACAAGCUUAAACAGUCCUCAUGCAUGCUGAGACUGCUGAGAAAUUCGAGCGCGUUGUAUGUUGCAGCACAACUCCAUGUUUUUUAAACUUGAAGCAUCCAAAACAAACUCAAAAACCAGUUUAGGGCCACAGGUACCACAUUCUUCCACAGUUACACAGCAGAGAUGCAGCCCAAUUAAAAGAGGAGUAACCCUAAGCCACAUUGACAUAAGUCAUCUGCCGCCUCAUGGCCUCGGGGCCAAGAACUGGUUCUUGCUUCUCUUUCAGUUUGCAGUAUAGCUAUAGGCUUGCAAUCUCUACUCCAAGGCCACGGCAGUGUCUCACAGGCAUGUUUCUCUCCCAUAUACAAUUGCCUAAAUCAUCACUAACUCUUGCAAACAGCACUUCUCUCUGCUCUGUAAAACGGGAAAUCCAAUGACAAAACCUGCUAAUGGCCGAACAAAUUCCAACACCCAGUUCCAUGUGGUCUGCUGUGCAUGACCUCCACAAAUUCAGGAAGUGAAGGUAAGGUGAGCUGCGGGGCCAGCUUUAAAUCCAUCUGUGAUGGAUGCCCUUGACUCUUGACCAAACUUGUGGUAGUUUGGUUCAGUGUCCAAAGGAAGCAAAGGCUUCAGCCACAACCAGGCCAAAAACUUCUCUAUUUCCAACCUGUUCUCUGAAAACCCCCACAGGAACAGGGUGACAUGGUGAGCACUGAUGCAUAUGGGCUUGGAAACCAACACCUGCUGUGCAAUUAACACAUGAAUAGCAGGUGGUUCUUCCAAGACUCAUUUAUCAAGGAACAAAGAAUGUUGUGGGUACAAGGAGUCUCAUGUUUACCUUUUCCAUAACAUGUAAUCUGACUGCAAGCCAACCACUUUAUUCCAUGAAUACGACAGCCUGAAGUGAGCCUUCUUUGAGCUCUCCCUGCUAAGCAGCUGGCUGCACAAUGGUGAUCUUCUCUUGAGCUGGAACACCUCUAAAAGUUACUCCUCGAGGCUGAGAGACCCCUUACCAACUGCAGAUCUUUGGUAUGUGACCAGUAUCACACACAACCUCAUAUCAUAGUGCACUAGAUUUUGUCUUAGUAACUUUGAAUCAUUAUUAUAUCCUCUCUCUGCAAUAAGUAAGAGUGAACCUUGCCAUCGAACUUCAUCUCAUCUCAUUUUCACAACAUCUUACUUCAAUGAAACCACUUGUGCUGAUACCUUUGGCGCUGGUUCUUCAAGCGGUCUGCGACAUCACCUUCUUUGCGCAAGGCUCCAACACAUUCCAACUCCACACCUCUGCACACCCAUCCCUUGCUCCGUUUCAGAGCCACCUCCUGCAUCUGCACUCAGUGUUACCUCAUGUGGCUUGUUUCUCUCUUACCAACAAACCACACGGCAAGGAUUCUGUCCUCCACUACACAACGCAGCACUGAAAUGAGGCACACUGGAUUUCUCAAGGACUUCUCUCUGUGUCAUAAACAUGGAGACGGAUGUGUGAGAGACUGAUCUGAAAUCAGACUCCUCUGUCCGUUGUCUCAAAGAUUGGUAUGAGAAGCUGAGAUGGAAUUCCACCAAUCCAUUGUCUCAGAGAUGGGUGGGAGGAGUUGAGAUAAGACUCCAACAUCCAUUGCCUGGGAGAAGGGUGUGAAGAGCUGAACUGGGACUCCA